ACGAACGCUGGCGGCGUGCCUAAUACAUGCAAGUAGAACGCUGAAGAGAGGAGCUUGCUCUUCUUGGAUGAGUUGCGAACGGGUGAGUAACGCGUAGGUAACCUGCCUUGUAGCGGGGGAUAACUAUUGGAAACGAUAGCUAAUACCGCAUAACAAUGGAUGACACAUGUCAUUUAUUUGAAAGGGGCAAUUGCUCCACUACAAGAUGGACCUGCGUUGUAUUAGCUAGUAGGUGAGGUAACGGCUCACCUAGGCGACGAUACAUAGCCGACCUGAGAGGGUGAUCGGCCACACUGGGACUGAGACACGGCCCAGACUCCUACGGGAAGCAGCAGUAGGGAAUCUUCGGCAAUGGGCGCGACCCUGACCGAGAAACGCCGCGUGAGUGAAGAAGGUUUUCGGAUCGUAAAGCUCUGUUGUAAGUCAAGAACGAGUGUGAGAGUGGAAAGUUCACACUGUGACGGUAGCUUACCAGAAAGGGACGGCUAACUACGUG
This 496-nucleotide ribosomal RNA is filed under the name uncultured bacterium. RNAcentral describes it as "partial 16S ribosomal RNA". It matches the Rfam family "Bacterial small subunit ribosomal RNA", at positions 29 to 507 of the family's 1533-position model. The record is from RNAcentral.